GUCUUCAUUUAGGAAUUGUAAAUUCAUGAGAAAAGAACAAAUUUUUUAUGGUAUAAAUAUCUUCCAGGAACAACAGUUUACAAGUAUUCGAUUGUUUAAAUAAACAAAACUAUUUUCCUUCCUAAAAUGUAAACAUCCAGUAAAUGAAACAUACAUGAUAUUCCAGGUAUAGAAAUCUUAGUAACUCACUUAUGAAAGAGGUGCAUUUUGGUAUGUUUGGUGGUAAGGUUUUUGUUUAUCUUAUGUAUAAAAGUAC
RNAcentral lists this long non-coding RNA (256 nucleotides) under Homo sapiens (human). RNAcentral's name for it is "HSALNT0220844". The record is from RNAcentral. Lineage: Eukaryota; Metazoa; Chordata; Mammalia; Primates; Hominidae.